RNAcentral lists this transfer RNA (87 nucleotides) under Pedobacter lusitanus. RNAcentral describes it as "tRNA-Leu". It matches the Rfam family "tRNA". Rfam says of the family: Transfer RNA (tRNA) molecules are approximately 80 nucleotides in length. Their secondary structure includes four short double-helical elements and three loops (D, anti-codon, and T loops). Further hydrogen bonds mediate the characteristic L-shaped molecular structure. tRNAs have two regions of fundamental functional importance: the anti-codon, which is responsible for specific mRNA codon recognition, and the 3' end, to which the tRNAs corresponding amino acid is attached (by aminoacyl-tRNA synthetases). tRNAs cope with the degeneracy of the genetic code in two manners: having more than one tRNA (with a specific anti-codon) for a particular amino acid; and 'wobble' base-pairing, i.e. permitting non-standard base-pairing at the 3rd anti-codon position. Lineage: Bacteria; Pseudomonadati; Bacteroidota; Sphingobacteriia; Sphingobacteriales; Sphingobacteriaceae. The record is from RNAcentral.
ACCCGGGUGGCGAAAUUGGUAGACGCACCACCUUGAGGGGGUGGCGCUUGCAAAGGCGUGGCAGUUCGAAUCUGCUUCCGGGUACUA